This 497-nucleotide ribosomal RNA is filed under the name uncultured bacterium. Its description in RNAcentral is "partial 16S ribosomal RNA". It matches the Rfam family "Bacterial small subunit ribosomal RNA", at positions 28 to 507 of the family's 1533-position model. The record is from RNAcentral.
GACGAACGCUGGCGGCGUGCCUAAUACAUGCAAGUAGAACGCUGAAGAGAGGAGCUUGCUCUUCUUGGAUGAGUUGCGAACGGGUGAGUAACGCGUAGGUAACCUGCCUUGUAGCGGGGGAUAACUAUUGGAAACGAUAGCUAAUACCGCAUAACAAUGGAUGACACAUGUCAUUUAUUUGAAAGGGGCAAUUGCUCCACUACAAGAUGGACCUGCGUUGUAUUAGCUAGUAGGUGAGGUAAUGGCUCAACUAGGCGACGAUACAUAGCCGACCUGAUGGGGUGAUCAGCCACACUGGGACUGAGACACGGCCCAGACUACUACGGGAGGCAGCAGUAGGGAAUCUUAGGAAAUGGGGGCAACCCUGACCGAGCAACGCCGCGAGAGUGAAGAAGGGUUUCGGAUCGUAAAGCUCUGUUGUAAGUCAAGAACGGGUGUGAGAGUGGAAAGUUCACACUGUGACGGUAGCUUACCAGAAAGGGACGGCUAACUACGUG